GGUCCUGUGAUGUAGUUGGUUAUCAUGUGGACCUAAUAAGUCCAAUGUCGCCAGUUCGAGCCUGGUCGGGAUCA
RNAcentral lists this transfer RNA (74 nucleotides) under Kwoniella heveanensis CBS 569. RNAcentral describes it as "tRNA-Ile (AAT) (tRNA-Ile-AAT-1 1 to 4)". It matches the Rfam family "tRNA". Rfam says of the family: Transfer RNA (tRNA) molecules are approximately 80 nucleotides in length. RNAcentral also lists the same sequence under 1 other name. Lineage: Eukaryota; Fungi; Basidiomycota; Tremellomycetes; Tremellales; Cryptococcaceae. The record is from RNAcentral.